CUUUGCAUACACGAAAGUGUGACAGGGCUAUCCCGAGUUGCCAUCCGCUGAGGAAGGCUUUUACCCAGCUCUAGAACGCUGGGMGAAUAAGGAGAGGGCAAGUCUGGUGUCAGCCGCCGCGGUAAUACCAGCUCUCCGAGUGGUGUGGAUGUUUAUUGGGCCUAAAGCAUCCGUAGCUGGCUAAGUUAGUCCCUUGUUAAAUCCACCGAAUUAAUCGUUGGAUUGCGGGGGAUACUGCUUGGCUAGGGGACGAGAGAGGCAGACGGUAUUUYCGGGGUAGGGGUGAAAUCCUAUAAUCCCGGGAAGACCACCAGUGGCGAAGGCUGUCUGCUAGAACGCGCCCGACGGUGAGGGAUGAAAGCUGGGGGAGCGAACCGGAUUAGAUACCCGGGUAGUCCCAGCUGUAAACGAUGCAAACUAGGUGUUUGAACGGCCACGUGCCGUUCUAGUGCCGCAGGGAAGCUGUUAAGUNUGCCGCCUGGGGAGUACGAUCGCAAGAUUGAAACUUAAAGGAAUUGGCGGGGGGAACAC
This 531-nucleotide ribosomal RNA is filed under the name uncultured crenarchaeote. RNAcentral's name for it is "bacterial SSU rRNA". It matches the Rfam family "Archaeal small subunit ribosomal RNA", at positions 348 to 879 of the family's 1478-position model. The record is from RNAcentral. Lineage: Archaea; Thermoproteati; Thermoproteota.